CUCGUGCCGCUUUAAUGCGCGGUGAAAAUAGCACGCGGAUCUGGUGCCGCGUCGCUCGCGCGUAACAUAGCUGGCAUAACGAAUCCUUUCUGGGACUCUGGACGCCACCACGCGGGACAGGUGGAGCCCAGGAGAGAGACAUGCAGGUUGGUGUGAAAGAGGCAGAUGUAGAGGACAGAGUGGCAUGGAGACGGAUGAUCCGCUGUGGAGACCCCUAACGUGAGCAGCCAGAUGAAGACGAAGAAGAGGAGCAGACUCAGGGAUGUGAAACUCAGGGUAAUAAUAAAAUAAGUUUGAUCAGGUUGUGGACGGGUUCAUUCACAACAAUGUAUCAGGAUGAAUAAAUCAGGAUGUGUGUAUUGAUGGAUACUUUAUUGCACAUCUGUAAAUCACUCUGGAUGAACAUGUGUGUAAAAGCAGUGACAGAUGUAAACAUUUCUGCUGGCAGUUUUCAGAUAAUUCCAAUACCAAUAAUACCUGUUUCAUUUAUCAGCCCAAAUGAUCUCUCAGUAUUCAGAUCUGAAUAUUUGGACCUGUUUUAGCUUUAACAGAACACAUACACAGCUUUUCUUUUCUUAACUGCAGUGUUUCAUUUUGUAGCAGUAAAUAUAACUUUUUAA
Silurus meridionalis is the source of this 620-nucleotide long non-coding RNA. RefSeq lists it as uncharacterized. The record is from RefSeq and is a predicted model, not a curated record. The transcript is spliced from 2 exons. NCBI's taxonomy places the organism in Eukaryota, Metazoa, Chordata, Actinopteri, Siluriformes, Siluridae.